Molecule: long non-coding RNA, 1058 nt
Organism: Cornus florida
Lineage: Eukaryota; Viridiplantae; Streptophyta; Magnoliopsida; Cornales; Cornaceae
Exons: 3
Source: RefSeq, a predicted model, not a curated record
AAUUUUUCUUACUAACAGGGUUCAAUAUUUUCCCCAUUUCCGUAAGCCAACGUGUGUCAGUUCGACAACGAACCAUAUCACAUUCACGUGUACGGCUUAGAUCAUGUUUCACGAAGUUCUCGUUAUAUUUUUUCCCCACCCAAAUAGAACCGUGUCAUGGCUGGUACGUUAUCGCCGGAAAACUAUCCCAUCUCCGAUCAGACAUCGAGCGAUCAUUAAAGUUUUACUACAUAGCAGUAUAGUUGUGGAAUUAGCUACCUCUAUCAGCUCACCCUUUAAUUAGCUCUCAUCAUCUCUUUUUUCUGAAAAGGGAUUAAUAUUUAGGCAUAUGUCGCUCCAAUAUGGAUGAGAAUGAACGAACAACCAAAAAAAGGAAGAUCAUUGUUGGAUUUUAUGUUUUUAUGGUGGCAAUUGUAGCAGUGUGGUGGCAUGAGAGAGGUAUGGCCAGAGAGCACCCCCAAGAUCUGAGAAGCCACGAAGAGUCUGAUAACUCGGAAGAGACUUCCAAGGCCAUUAGUUCUUAUGAUGGGCUGAACGAUGAUGUCAAUAGCGUUAACGAAGUCCAACAUGGAAGAUCCAAUGCCUCAUCCUCAGCUGGUUCGCAUUGUCGGAAAAGAAAACGGAGCUCAGACGUAUAUAAUACGGUUUUGGGGUGUAUGGCUGAUUUACUAGAGAAAUUUCUACACUAUGAACCGCCAAAGGCGACAGCUGAGAUGGUGCUAAAAGAAGUCUCUAAGGUGUCGAACUUGGACCAAACACAAGUCAUGAGGCCGGUUGAUUUGAUGAUACAUGAUGAAAUAAAGUUUGAAAUAUACUCUGAACUUCCAGAUGAUCUGAAAAAACCUUGGAUCAUGAUGCAUUUGAACCAAUGAAAAUUGCUUCUUCCAAGGAGAGCUUGCUGCCAAGACAUAGCCUGUUGAAAGAACCAUUUGAAUUUUCUCCCUUCCUCUUUGUAUCUUGUGUUCUCUGUUGUUCAGCUUGACGAUUCCUUGUUAUUGUAAUGCACUCUCAGAUUGUGAAUGUCGAUGCUCUAUGAUCAGGUGGAGUGAUCAAUGCUA